Molecule: ribosomal RNA, 469 nt
Filed under: uncultured bacterium
Lineage: Bacteria
Description: partial 16S ribosomal RNA
Rfam family: Bacterial small subunit ribosomal RNA
Source: RNAcentral
AACGAACGUUGGCGGCGUGGAUUAGGCAUGCAAGUCGAACGCGAAUCCCUGGGCAACUGGGGAGGAGAGUGGCGAAAGGGGCAGUAAGGCGUGGGUAACCUACCCUCCUGUCCGGGAUAGCUUCGGGAAACUGAAGGUAAUACCGGGCGACGCAGCGAGAUCGCAUGGUCUUUCUGCCAAAGGUCCGCCGCCGGGGGAGGGGCUCACGUGGUAUUAGCUAGACUGAGGGGUAACGGCCCACCGUGGCAAAGAUGCCUAGCAGGUGUCAGAGCACGAGCUGCGCCACUGGGACUGCGACACUGGCCAGACACAUAGGGGCGGCCGCAGUGGAGGAUAUUCGGAAAUGGGAGCGAGGCUGACCGGGCGAAGCCGCGUGGGCGGUAAAGGCCUUUGGGUUGUAAAGAACUGACGAGGGGGAGGAAGCCGCCAGGUUGACCUAUCCCUGGAGGAAGCACGGGCUAAGUUCGUG